GGAAGGAUCAUUAUCAUAUAAUAAAAUUUGUUGUUUUCAUUUUUCCUUUCGGGGGAUUAUGCUUAACUUCAAACCACACAAACCACCACCACCACCACUUGUUUGGAGUUGAGUUUUAAUCGGCUCUUCUUCAUUCAUUUGGUUGGUUGGCACACCUCGUGAAUUUCAUGAAGUCCAUAACCAUUUUUUAAACACCAUUGUAACGUUUUUAGUCUGAUAUCUUUUUUCUGACUUCUUCUUCCCUCUGCUACUCACUCUCUCGAGAGUAGUGGUAGAUGAUCGACGACGAAAGAAAAAAACAAAAUAAUCAAAUACAAUCUUCAACGAUGGAUAUCUCGGCUCGUGUAACGAUGAAGAGCGCAGCAAAGUGCGAUAACUAGUGUGAAUUGCAGAAUUCUGUGAAUCAUCGAACUCUUGAACGCAUCCUGCGCCUGAGGGCUAUCCUUCAGGCACACCUGUUUGAGUGUUGACUAUUCUCUCUUCUUUUAAUUAAAACCUUUUUCGAAAGGUUCUCUUUGAAAGAGAAUUGAUAGUGAAGAAACGUUGAAAUAUAUUGAUUCUUCUCUAUUUAAAAGUAUGGGCUUGGUCACUCAUUUCAUUAGUUUGUGGCUAACAAUCUAGGUUCAGGGGUCUUUUGACUCAAGUCCUAGGUUCACAUUCUAAUUUUGAAAUACUAAGAGUGAUUGCAGCAUCAAGGAAUACUUAUUUUUUUUUUGUUGGGUAAUACCAAAAAAAAAAAAAAAAAAACCCAUUCAACCUCAAAUCAGGUGGGACUACCCCCUGAAUUUAAGCAUAUAAUUAAGGGGAGGAAAAGAAAGUAACCACGAUUCCCUCAGUAAAGGCGAUUGAACAGGGAAGAGCUCAAUCCGAAUCUGUCUGGUUUCCAGACUGAAUUGUAGUUUUGUGAGUGCCUAUAUGGGAAGAACUUGGUUUAAGUUACCUGGAACGGUACGCCAUAGAGGGUGACAGCCCCGUAUACAACCGAGGAAACUUCUCUACCCGUAGGUACUUCAUAGAGUCGGACUAUUUGAUAGUAUAGUCCUAAGUGUGAGGUAAGUUCCUCAUAAAGCUAAAUACGGACGCGAGACCGAUAGCGAACAAGUACCGUGAGGGAAAGAUGCAAAGAACUUUGAAAAGAGAGUUAAAAGUACUUGAAAUCGUUGGAGAGGAAGCGGUUGGAAGCAGUGAUUGAUCGGGGUUGAUUCGCGGUUGAAUGGGCAGAUAGACGUGGCUGAAGAGUCUCCUCUUGGGGGCCUUUUGUUGCGGAUAUCUGUUUAGGCAGCCGUUACUUUGGCUUCGACGGAUCAGCAUCUGUGGGCCUCGGAAUGGAAUGGGUUGGAGGAGGUAGCCCGGGGAUUCUCUGGGUGUUUAACUCUGAUCAGAUAUUCUGAGGAUCCUACAGAGGAUACAAAGUGGAGCUUGCGGGGUAUCCAGAUUCCUGGUGUGUUCCAGUGUGGGGGACUGCAUGCAGUGCUUUAUGCUGGGAUGUGCUAUCGGGUUUGGUCCACUCUCCACUUCAUGAUGCUGGUGAAAUGUUUCCUACCGACCCGUCUUGAAACACGGACCAAGGAGUCUAACAUAUGUGCGAGUCGCUGAGUGGCAAACUUGGGGGCGUAAUGAAAGUGAAUCACGGUGCCAUCCUUGACUUCCGAGUCUUGGUGCAGCAUCGACCGAUCCAAUUCCCCUUCGUGGGAAUAGAUUUGAGUAGGAGCAUGUCUGUUGGGACCCGAAAGAUGGUGAACUAUGCCUGCAUAGGGUGAGGCCAGAAGAAAUUCUGGUGGAGGCUCGUAGCGAUACUGACGUGCAAAUCGUUCGUCAAAUGUGGGUAUAGCGGCGAAAGACUAAUCGAACCGUCUAGUAGCUGGUUUCCUC
This 1872-nucleotide unclassified non-coding RNA is filed under the name uncultured fungus. RNAcentral describes it as "sequence contains 18S rRNA gene, ITS1, 5.8S rRNA gene, ITS2, 28S rRNA gene". The stretch from base 754 to 1872 matches the Rfam family "Eukaryotic large subunit ribosomal RNA", at positions 1 to 961 of the family's 3401-position model. Lineage: Eukaryota; Fungi. The record is from RNAcentral.